UAAUACGAAGGUGGCAAGCGUUGUUCGGAAUUAUUGGGCAUAAAGGGCAUGUAGGCGGAGAAGCAAGUCGGUGGUGAAAGCCCUCGGCUCAACCGAGGAAUUGCCUCCGAAACUUCUUCUCUAGAGUACAGGAGGGGAGAGUGGAACUCUUGGUGGAGCGGUGAAAUGCGUUGAUAUCAAGGGGAACGCCGGCGGCGAAAGCGACUCUCUGGCCUGUUACUGACGCUGAGGUGCGAAAGCUAGGGGAGCGAACGGGAUUAGAUACCCCGGUAGUCCUAGCCGUAAACGAUGGGCACUAAGUAGAGGGGGUUCCGAUGCCUUCUCUGCCGGAGCAAAUGUAUUAAGUGCCCCGCCUGGGGAGUAUGGUCGCAAGGCUG
Molecule: ribosomal RNA, 377 nt
Filed under: uncultured Planctomycetota bacterium
Lineage: Bacteria; Pseudomonadati; Planctomycetota
Description: bacterial SSU rRNA
Rfam family: Bacterial small subunit ribosomal RNA
Source: RNAcentral